RNAcentral lists this ribosomal RNA (851 nucleotides) under Gammarus curvativus. RNAcentral describes it as "partial 16S ribosomal RNA". Lineage: Eukaryota; Metazoa; Arthropoda; Malacostraca; Amphipoda; Gammaridae. The record is from RNAcentral.
AGAAAAAGAAAAUUUUAAAGUUGUACCUUUUGUAUCAGGGGGGUUUAAAAGGACAAACAGCUAUAAAUCGAGUCAGACUGAUCUUCUUUUUUGUGUUUAGUUGGAUUUAGAUAGGAAAAAAAUUAAGUGGUGAAAAAUUUUCGAUGUUUGUGGUAUCUAUUUGUUUUAAAUUUUAAGGGGUUAAGUUCUUAAAGUAUUUAUGAUGCGUAAAAAAUUGAAAAAACUAAGCUUUAGAUUAGCUAUGUUAGUAUGUUGUUUUAAGAUAUUUUUGUACAAAAAAUUAGUUGUAAAAUUAAAUAAACAAUUUUUAUAAGCAUUUGUUAGUAUUAGUAAUGAAUUUAUUGAAUAUUGAGAGGAGUCUUAAAAUAACUCAGAGUAAGUGAGAAAGUUUAACAAAAACAUUUUUAUUUGCGUAGGAGAUAGUAUGGCCUGCCCGGUGAUAGUUUAACGGCUGCGGUAUAUUGACUGUGCUAAGGUAGCAUAAUCAUUUGCUAUUUAAUUGGUAGCUGGAAUGAAAGGUUUAACUAACUUACUAGGUUUGUAGGCUAGUAGAUAAAUUAAAGUCAAGGUAAGAAUUCUUUGAUAGGUUAGGGGACGAUAAGACCCUAGAAGCUUAACAAUAAGUUUGCUUAUUAGUGCUUAAGUGUAGUAUGUUUUACUGGGGCGGUUGAUGUAUUUUAACUAUCUAAAUUUUGAAUGAUCCUUAAUAUAAAGAUACAGCGGGUAAGUUACUCUAGGGGUAACAGUGCAAUAUUUUUGGAGAGAUCUUAUCGAUAUAGAUGUUUGCAACCUCGAUGUUGAAUUAAAAUGUCUACGUGAAGCAGAAAGUAUAGUAGAGGGUUUGUUCAACC